Molecule: long non-coding RNA, 277 nt
Organism: Eubalaena glacialis (North Atlantic right whale)
Lineage: Eukaryota; Metazoa; Chordata; Mammalia; Artiodactyla; Balaenidae
Exons: 3
Source: RefSeq, a predicted model, not a curated record
GAUGUGAUGCUUGUACUUUACUGCAGGGAGCCAGGCAGGGCUGGUGGGGAUGGAGUGAAGGAAACAUCCGGGGAGUGGCGAGGCCUCGGCAGCAUGCAGGAUCUUAGUUCCCUGACCAGGGAUCGAACCCACACCCCCUGCAGUGAAAACGCCGAGUCAUAACCACUGGGCCGCCAGCUCCCUCAGAAGCUUCUUUAAAAAAGACUCCAACUCAGCAUCUGCUGUCAGGACAGCAUCAACCCACAACAGGGAUGCAGGAAUGAACCAGAUGGGCCCA